This 464-nucleotide ribosomal RNA is filed under the name uncultured bacterium. RNAcentral's name for it is "partial 16S ribosomal RNA". It matches the Rfam family "Bacterial small subunit ribosomal RNA", at positions 28 to 506 of the family's 1533-position model. The record is from RNAcentral.
GACGAACGCUGGCGGCGUGCUUAACACAUGCAAGUCGUACGGUAAGGCCCUUUCGGGGGUACACGAGUGGCGAACGGGUGAGUAACACGUGAGUAACCUGCCCACAACUUUGGGAUAACGCUAGGAAACUGGUGCUAAUACUGGAUAUGUGCUCCUGCUGCAUGGUGGGGGUUGGAAAGCUCCGGCGGUUGUGGAUGGACUCGCGGCCUAUCAGCUUGUUGGUGGGGUAGUGGCCUACCAAGGCGGCGACGGGUAGCCGGCCUGAGAGGGUGACCGGCCACAUGGGGGCGGAGAUAAGGCCAGAGCCCCUACGGGGGGAGGCAGUGGGGAAUAUUGAAAAAUGGGCGGAGGCCGGAUGCAGCAACGCCGCGUGGGGGAUGACGGCCUUCGGGUUGUAAACCGCUUUCAGCAGGGGCGAAGCUUUUUGGGGCGGUACCGGGAAAAAAAGCACCGGCUAACUACGG